UCUGGGCGUAAGCGCACGCAGGCGGUCUGUCAAGUCGGAUGUGAAAUCCCCGGGCUCAACCUGGGAACUGCAUUCGAAACUGGCAGGCUAGAGUCUUGUAGAGGGGGGUAGAAUUCCAGGUGUAGCGGUGAAAUGCGUAGAGAUCUGGAGGAAUACCGGUGGCGAAGGCGGCCCCCUGGACAAAGACUGACGCUCAGGUGCGAAAGCGUGGGGAGCAAACAGGAUUAGAUACCCUGGUAGUCCACGCCGUAAACGAUGUCGAUUUGGAGGUUGUGCCCUUGAGGCGUGGCUUCCGGAGCUAACGCGUUAAAUCGACCGCCUGGGGAGUACGGCCGCAAGGUUAAAACUCAAAUGAAUUGACGGGGGCCCGCACAAGCGGUGGAGCAUGUGGUUUAAUUCGAUGCAACGCGAAGAACCUUACCUGGUCUUGACAUCCACAGAACUUUCCAGAGAUGGAUUGGUGCCUUCGGGAACUGUGAGACAGGUGCUGCAUGGCUGUCGUCAGCUCGUGUUGUGAAAUGUUGGGUUAAGUCCCGCAACGAGCGCAACCCUUAUCCUUUGUUGCCAGCGGUUAGGCCGGGAACUCAUAGGAGACUGCCAGUGAUAAACUGGAAGAAGGUGGGGAUGACGUCCAGUCAUCAUGGCCCUUACGACCAGGGCUACACACGUGCUACAAUGGCGCAUACCAAGAGAAUCGACCUCGCGAGAGCAAGCGGACCUCAUAAAGUGCGUCGUAAUCCGGAUUGGAGUCUG
RNAcentral lists this ribosomal RNA (753 nucleotides) under Enterobacter cloacae. Its description in RNAcentral is "bacterial SSU rRNA". It matches the Rfam family "Bacterial small subunit ribosomal RNA", at positions 553 to 1307 of the family's 1533-position model. The record is from RNAcentral. Lineage: Bacteria; Pseudomonadati; Pseudomonadota; Gammaproteobacteria; Enterobacterales; Enterobacteriaceae.